This 3855-nucleotide long non-coding RNA is filed under the name Coffea arabica (coffee). RNAcentral's name for it is "long non-coding RNA (CARA_LNC006927)". The record is from RNAcentral. Lineage: Eukaryota; Viridiplantae; Streptophyta; Magnoliopsida; Gentianales; Rubiaceae.
ACAAUGGAAUUGCUUGUUCUUUUGUUUUCUUUUUUGGGUAUAACAUUCACAAGAAGCCGGUUCUCAAGCAGUCUUCCCUGCCUGGGAACCGCACACAAAUAGAGCUAGCUUUAAGUUUCUUUAGAGGAAGUCGAUUUGUAAUCCAUAUUUUGAGCUUUAUUUCCAGAAACCGUUAAAUACCACUUAUGAAAAGUUACAGUAGAGAGUUGUAGAACAAACCGAAAGGGCGAUAAAAUAGCAGCACAUCUGCACAUGGACAGUAGAGAGUUUAUUUUGAUCGAUACUUGAUGGUGAUCAUCGGUCAAUGAACAUUCCUGCUGCACCUAUUUUUCAAGUCGCAAGGCCGGUUUCGACUAUCCAAUUUCACAAUGCAAUUCCCGUACCUUGUUCUACGGCAAAUUGGCUUUGGCUGAUUUGUGCGGUAAACAAUAGGUCUGCCGCCUGGGGGAACAGCAAGAACAUUGCCAAACUGAGAAUCCACGAGGAAUUCUUGGUCGUAGGCUACAGUACUGCCGAUCGUGGAAUUGUCCCAGUCCCAGCUAACGCUGGCAUUGACACUUUGAAUACUAGUUGCGCUGAGGAGAACUGUCGUGGUAAGCAGCAGCCAUGCCACCACUGGGAAGAUGCACAGGCUCUUUGAUGCUGAUUUCUCCAUCUCUCCCUGCUAUCUCUUGCUCUCUUGGAGACCUGAAUAUCCUUCUCUGUUUGUACUAAUAGACCUCGAACCCACUUUACAUGAUAAUCGUAUUAAUGAACGUAUGGCUGUAGUUGGGACUGAGUUAAUUAAUUUAAUUAAAGCUCCUCCAUGUUAGGUGGCCGUCAGCUUUGUUAUCUUCCUAGUUUCUCAAGAUUCUUUACCUUUUUUUUCGUUUCUUUCUUUUAAAAACAAAAAACAAAAAAGUGUUACAUGAAACAAUUAUAUUUUGAUUAUAUUUCAGCCAUGCCAUGUUACAUGGACACUUUCCUCUGCCAACGAUCGUGAUCAGGACCCCAACAUUUACUUCUUAUUUCUGUUCGGAAUGAUACUCUCCGUGACUGAUAACGAUAGUGGUAAGGAGGGAAGGCAUUAAAGGGGGAUGAAGAAGAAUGUAUAACUUCUACUGCUACAACAACCUAGCUGAUUGCAGAAUCCAUAGCACAAAAAAAGCCACACUAAUGCUUCUUGAUUCAUGGGAGAAUUUAAUGCUUGGGCAUGCCAAUUACACCAAAUACAGAUUAACCACAGCCAAGACCGAAUCAAUGAAAGACAGACGCAUUGUUAAAUAUGGACAAAUCAUAAUGAGUACAAAACUAUUUUAAUUAGAAAAUUAUGAGAAUUUAGAGCACCAUUUGAGGCAUCGAGUUGAAAUAUUUCUCUUUGUGUAAUAAAAAUGAUAUCAAUAUGUGAAAAUUUGAUAAAUUGGUUAAUGUAGUUUGCUUUAUAUUUUGUGUAAUAUAUAGUUGAUAAUCUUGAUUGCCAAAUUCAAAGAACGCGUGUUAUUUUGUGUUUAUUUUUGAUAAUGCUCUGCAAAUCUAUGUAUAAAUUACUAUGUUAUAAAUAGGAAUAUAAAUUACAAGUCAAGGAUUAAAGCAGCAAUGGGGACCAGCUGGUGUAAGAAAUCUGGAAUUUUGAAGUAAUUCAUUUUUAUGCUCAGUCCAUCCAGAAUUUAGUAGGGAAUUAUUGGUAAGAGGAGAGGUCAAUACGAUGGGAGGGAGAGGUGAGGAGAAAGCUGACACUGGAGGAUGGUGAAGAGUUGAGCAGUAAUUUUUUUGGGGUCACGUAUAAAUUAGCAGUGCUAAAGGGACUCUUUGUAAUGUUGCAAAAACAUGUGGCAAUGGAUGAUCGUGAAUGUGAAUAUUACAAUGUUUAUUUGGGUAGGAAUCUAUUUGGAUGAUUUAUUUAUUUUUUCCAACAAUCGGUAACAAGAUUUAUAUUAACACUUGAAAAUACAAAGGUUAAUUACAAAAAGGGGCAACUGCCCUCAAGAUUUAUAUUAACACAAUUUAUUUGGAUGAUAUAUUUAAGAUAAAUACUAUAACACUUUUCGUGAAAUGAUGUAUGUGACAUAAAAAAAUAAUUAAAAAAAUAAAAAUAUGAUCGAAAUUUGUAAAGUAAAUUAUUUUAUCUCAAAUCAUCUCAAUCCAAACACACUCAGUGUGUGUGUGAUCUAAGUAUGACUGAUAGAUUUAUAUUUAGGAAAAUAGCACCAUCACGGUCCGUAACUUGAUUUUGAGUUACAGAAGCCUUACAGCCGUGCGAUCACUUUAAAAUAAAGUGUGUACUAGCUUGUCCAGUUAUAUAAGCAAAGCAUAUCAAUUUAUAUACUCCCCUCCCAUAGUUCCAAAUUUUGCCAAUAGCCCCUCAGCCUCCUUGCCUCGUCAAUCUCCUGUAUUCAUAAGGAACCUCAAUCAAAUCAUCUCCUCCGCCUUGUAUGAACAAAAGCUCCUGCCUUCUGUCAUGACUUUUGUGGCAUUUUUUGCUUUCACAAAUCACACAAUUAGUAAAAGAAAAGUUCAAAAUCUCACAAAUCAAGAUAAACUUGAAUUUGUUAUACUACAACUCAAUUGAGAAUCAGGACUUGAACGAGAAAGGUAGAAGAAGUAAAGGGCAACACCAGGUUGUCUCCCCCUCAAGCCCAACAUUCUCUAUCACCUUUAGUUAAACCUUCUUUUCCCCUCCUACCUUCUUGUCUUCCAAAUUAUCCUUAGGUUUUGUGCAGCCUAAUUCUCGAGUUUUUGGUGGUUGUAUGGAUGCCCUGAUUCUUAUUUCGUACCAAAAUUAAAUAAUAAACUUUUUGUGUUCAAGGCACCUAGAAUGAAGUAAAUUAAAGAGGCGCAGUAAAGAAGGGCUAAUGGAGGAAAGCGGAUAAGGUAAAGGCAAUGGAAGCCAAGGAAAGGUGGGGAAAUGAGGAAUAGAUGGAGAAAGGGCACACCGAAGCAUGAGAAAAAGAUUGAGCAAAAUUGGGGCUACGUAUAGAUUAGCAAUGUUGAAGGAGUGUUUUGUGGUAUUACAAACACUUGUUAUAAUAGGUGACUGUAAGUUUGUAGAUCACAGUGUCUGUGAUCUAAGGAUGAUUCUUAUAUUUAUGCGUACUGAGGCGGCAUUAAUAUUUAGUCUCCCAAAAAUUAAACAUACCACCAUUUUUAGAACCCAAAAAAGAUAGUUAGUCGAUUUGCAAAUUGCAAUGCAUAUUUUUAGCUUUAUUUGUUAAAAUCCACUUAUGAAAAGUUACAAUAGGAUUGGGACGCAGACGAGAAGUUGCACAACAAAUCAAAAGGGCGAUAAAAUAUCAGCGCAUGGACAAUUGUGAGUUCAUGUUGAUUGAUACUUGAUGGUGAUCAUGAGGGACUGGGCCUCAGACAAAAAUUGCUGAAGCUGCAUUUCCUGCCUUGACGCCCACCAGGAAUGCAUUUCCAGUACGUUAUUCUAUCACAAAUUGCCCCUGGCUGUAAUGCGAGUUUACUAGGACUUCUUCCAGAAGCAAGAACAUUGCCAAACUGAGAGUCCAUGAGGAAUUCUUGGUCGUCGGCUACAACAGUACUGCCGACCGUGGAAUCGCCCCAAUCCCAGCCAACGCUGCCAUUAACACUUUGAAUACUAGUUGCGCUGAGGAGAACUGUCGUGGUAAGCAGCAGCCAUGCCACCACUGGGAAGAUGCACAGGCUCUUUGAUGCUGAUUUCUCCAUCUCUCCCUGAUAUCUCUUGCUCUCUUGGAGACCUGAAUAGCUUUCUCUAUUUGUACUAAUAGACCUACUUUAGAUGAUAAUCAUAUUAAUGAACGCAUGGCUGUAGUUGGGACUGAGUUAAUCACUUUAAUUAGAGCUCCUCCAUGUUAGGUGGCCGUCAGCUAUCCUAUCUUCCUAGUUUCUCAAGAC